UUUCCGUAGGUGAACCUGCGGAGGAUCAUUAAAGAGAAUAUGCCCUUCGGGGUAGGUCUCCCACCCUUUGUUUAUAUUACCUUUGUUGCUUUGGCAGGCCCGUCUUCGGACCACCGGCUUUGGCUGGUCAGUGCUUGCCAGAGGACCCAAAACUCUUAUUAUUAAUGUCGUCUGAGUACUAUAUAAUAGUUAAAACUUUCAACAACGGAUCUCUUGGUUCUG
Molecule: unclassified non-coding RNA, 222 nt
Filed under: plant metagenome
Description: partial contains small subunit ribosomal RNA, internal transcribed spacer 1, and 5.8S ribosomal RNA
Source: RNAcentral